This 1345-nucleotide ribosomal RNA is filed under the name uncultured bacterium. RNAcentral's name for it is "bacterial SSU rRNA". It matches the Rfam family "Bacterial small subunit ribosomal RNA", at positions 28 to 1382 of the family's 1533-position model. The record is from RNAcentral.
GACGAACGCCGGCGGAGUGCUUAACACAUGCAAGUCGAACGGAAAGGCCCUGCUUUUGUGGGGUGCUCGAGUGGCGAACGGGUGAGUAACACGUGAGUAACCUGCCCUUGACUUUGGGAUAACUUCAGGAAACUGGGGCUAAUACCGGAUAGGAGCUCCUGCUGCAUGGUGGGGGUUGGAAAGUUUCGGCGGUUGGGGAUGGACUCGCGGCUUAUCAGCUUGUUGGUGGGGUAGUGGCUUACCAGGGCUUUGACGGGUAGCCGGCCUGAGAGGGUGACCGGCCACAUUGGGACUGAGAUACGGCCCAGACUCCUACGGGAGGCAGCAGUGGGGAAUAUUGCACAAUGGGCGGAAGCCUGAUGCAGCAACGCCGCGUGCGGGAUGACGGCCUUCGGGUUGUAAACCGCUUUCGCCUGUGACGAAGCGUGAGUGACGGUAAUGGGUAAAGAAGCACCGGCUAACUACGUGCCAGCAGCCGCGGUGAUACGUAGGGUGCGAGCGUUGUCCGGAUUUAUUGGGCGUAAAGGGCUCGUAGGUGGUUGAUCGCGUCGGAAGUGUAAUCUUGGGGCUUAACCCUGAGCGUGCUUUCGAUACGGGUUGACUUGAGGAAGGUAGGGGAGAAUGGAAUUCCUGGUGGAGCGGUGGAAUGCGCAGAUAUCAGGAGGAACACCAGUGGCGAAGGCGGUUCUCUGGGCCUUUCCUGACGCUGAGGAGCGAAAGCGUGGGGAGCGAACAGGCUUAGAUACCCUGGUAGUCCACGCUGUAAACGGUGGGUACUAGGUGUGGGGUCCAUUCCACGGGUUCCGUGCCGUAGCUAACGCUUUAAGUACCCCGCCUGGGGAGUACGGCCGCAAGGCUAAAACUCAAAGGAAUUGACGGGGCCCCGCACAAGCGGCGGAGCAUGCGGAUUAAUUCGAUGCAACGCGUAGAACCUUACCUGGGUUUGACAUGGAUCGGGAGUGCUCAGAGAUGGGUGUGCCUCUUUUGGGGUCGGUUCACAGGUGGUGCAUGCCUGUCGUCAGCUCGUGUCGUGAGAUGUUGGGUUAAGUCCCGCAACGAGCGCAACCCUUGUUCACUGUUGCCAGCACGUUAUGGUGGGGACUCAGUGGAGACCGCCGGGGUCAACUCGGAGGAAGGUGGGGAUGACGUCAAGUCCUCAUGCCCCUUAUGUCCAGGGCUUCACGCAUGCUACAAUGGCUGGUACAGAGAGUGGCGAGCCUGUGAGGGUGAGCGAAUCUCGGAAAGCCGGUCUCAGUUCGGAUUGGGGUCUGCAACUCGACCUCAUGAAGUCGGAGUCGCUAGUAAUCGCAGAUCAGCAACGCUGCGGUGAUACGUUCCCGGGCUU